Molecule: ribosomal RNA, 513 nt
Filed under: uncultured bacterium
Lineage: Bacteria
Description: partial 16S ribosomal RNA
Rfam family: Bacterial small subunit ribosomal RNA
Source: RNAcentral
GACGAACGCUGGCGGCAUGCCUAAUACAUGCAAGUCGAGCGAACAGAUGAAGUGCUUGCACUUCUGACGUUAGCGGCGAACGGGUGAGUAACACGUAAGGAAUCUACCUAUAAGCGGGGGAUAACAUUCGGAAACGGGUGCUAAUACCGCAUAAUAUCUUCUUCCGCAUGGAAGAAGAUUGAAAGACGGCUCUGCUGUCACUUAUAGAUGACCUUGCGGUGCAUUAGUUAGUUGGUGGGGUAAUGGCCUGCCAAGACAAUGAUGCAUAGCCGACCUGAGAGGGUGAUCGGCCACAUUGGGACUGAGACACGGCCCAAACUCCUACGGGAGGCAGCAGUAGGGAAUCUUCCGCAAUGGGCGAAAGCCUGACGGAGCAAUGCCGCGUGAGUGAAGAUGGCCUUCGGGUCGUAAAACUCUGUUAUAAGAGAAGAACAAAUUGUAGAGCAACUGCUACAGUCUUGACGGUAUCUUAUCAGAAAGCCACGGCUAACUACGUGCCAGCAGCCGCCGUAA